UACGUAGGCAGCGAGCGUUGUUCGGAGUUACUGGGCGUAAAGGGUGUGUAGGCGGUUGUUUAAGUUUGGUGUGAAAUCUCCCGGCUCAACUGGGAGGGUGCGCCGAAUACUGAAUGACUAGAGUGCGGGAGAGGAAAGUGGAAUUCCUGGCGUAGCGGUGAAAUGCGCAGAUAUCAGGAGGAACACCGGUGGCGAAGGCGGGACUCUGGGCCGAUACUGACGCUGAGGAGCGAAAGCGUGGGGAGCAAACAGG
RNAcentral lists this ribosomal RNA (253 nucleotides) under uncultured bacterium. RNAcentral's name for it is "partial 16S ribosomal RNA". It matches the Rfam family "Bacterial small subunit ribosomal RNA", at positions 524 to 776 of the family's 1533-position model. The record is from RNAcentral.